AGGGGUAUAGCUCAGUUGGCUAGAGCACUGGUCUCCAAAACCAGGUGUCGCAGGUUCGAGUCCUGCUACCCCUGCCA
This 77-nucleotide transfer RNA is filed under the name Candidatus Saccharimonadota bacterium. RNAcentral's name for it is "tRNA-Trp". It matches the Rfam family "tRNA". Rfam says of the family: Transfer RNA (tRNA) molecules are approximately 80 nucleotides in length. Their secondary structure includes four short double-helical elements and three loops (D, anti-codon, and T loops). Further hydrogen bonds mediate the characteristic L-shaped molecular structure. tRNAs have two regions of fundamental functional importance: the anti-codon, which is responsible for specific mRNA codon recognition, and the 3' end, to which the tRNAs corresponding amino acid is attached (by aminoacyl-tRNA synthetases). tRNAs cope with the degeneracy of the genetic code in two manners: having more than one tRNA (with a specific anti-codon) for a particular amino acid; and 'wobble' base-pairing, i.e. permitting non-standard base-pairing at the 3rd anti-codon position. The record is from RNAcentral. Lineage: Bacteria; Candidatus Saccharimonadota.